AGUGAACGCUGGCGGUAGGCCUAACACAUGCAAGUCGAACGGCAGCACAGUAAGAGCUUGCUCUUACGGGUGGCGAGUGGCGGACGGGUGAGGAAUACAUCGGAAUCUACUUUUUCGUGGGGGAUAACGUAGGGAAACUUACGCUAAUACCGCAUACGACCUACGGGUGAAAGCAGGGGAUCUUCGGACCUUGCGCGAUUGAAUGAGCCGAUGUCGGAUUAGCUAGUUGGCGGGGUAAAGGCCCACCAAGGCGACGAUCCGUAGCUGGUCUGAGAGGAUGAUCAGCCACACGGGAACUGAGACACGGUCCAGACUCCGACGGGAGGCAGCAGUGGGGAAUAUUGGACAAUGGGCGCAAGCCUGAUCCAGCCAUACCGCGUGGGUGAAGAAGGCCUGCGGGUUGUAAAGCCCUUUUGUUGGGAAAGAAAAGCAGCAGGUUAAUACCCCGCUGUUCUGACGGUACCCAAAGAAUAAGCACCGGCUAACUUCGU
Molecule: ribosomal RNA, 491 nt
Filed under: uncultured bacterium
Lineage: Bacteria
Description: partial 16S ribosomal RNA
Rfam family: Bacterial small subunit ribosomal RNA
Source: RNAcentral